UGUUCCUACGGGACGCAGCAGUGAGGAAUAUUGGUCAAUGGCCGGAAGGCUGAACCAGCCAAGCCGCGUGAGGGAGGAAGGCGCAGAGCGUCGCAGACCUCUUUUGCCGGGGGACAAAAGGCCGGACUCGUCCGGUCCUGAGGGUACCCGGAGAAAAAGCAUCGGCUAACUCCGUGCCAGCAGCCGCGGUAAUACGGAGGAUGCGAGCGUUAUCCGGAUUUAUUGGGUUUAAAGGGUGCGCAGGCGGACCAUCAAGUCAGCGGUAAAAUCGUGGGGCCCAACCCCAUCCCGCCGUUGAAACUGGC
RNAcentral lists this ribosomal RNA (305 nucleotides) under uncultured bacterium. Its description in RNAcentral is "bacterial SSU rRNA". It matches the Rfam family "Bacterial small subunit ribosomal RNA", at positions 334 to 637 of the family's 1533-position model. The record is from RNAcentral.